This 418-nucleotide ribosomal RNA is filed under the name uncultured bacterium. RNAcentral describes it as "bacterial SSU rRNA". It matches the Rfam family "Bacterial small subunit ribosomal RNA", at positions 917 to 1338 of the family's 1533-position model. The record is from RNAcentral.
GGGCCCGCACAAGCGGUGGAGUAUGUGGUUUAAUUCGAUGAUACGCGAGGAACCUUACCAGGGCUUAAAUGUAGUCUGACAGGGGUGGAAACACCCCCUCCUUCGGGCAGAUUACAAGGUGCUGCAUGGUUGUCGUCAGCUCGUGCCGUGAGGUGUCAGGUUAAGUCCUAUAACGAGCGCAACCCCUGCCGUUAGUUGCCAGCAUGUAAUGAUGGGAACUCUAACGGGACUGCCGGUGCAAACCGCGAGGAAGGUGGGGAUGACGUCAAAUCAUCACGGCCCUUACGUCCUGGGCUACACACGUGCUACAAUGGCCGGUACAGAGGGCAGCCACACCGCAAGGUGGAGCGAAUCCUUAAAACCGGUCUCAGUUCGGAUCGGGGUCUGCAACUCGCCUACGUGAAGGCGGAAUCGCUAG